UCUAUCUUUUUGCUCUUCUCUAAAAACAAUUUAAUAUUUGUGAAAUGAAUAUUGCAUAGAAGAAAUAUUAGUAUGGAAGAAUAAGUAGAAGUGGGGAACGUGUUUAUGAAUGUAUGCAGGGCUGUCAAUACAUAGAACAGAAAAAAAUGGUGGAUCCAUCUGUAUGAUGGAACGAAUUAAUUUUUUUAUAUGCUAUGAUUCCUUUAAAUUGUAGAAUGGAAACCAAGCUAACUAAUGUCUUUUUUAGUCUAAAGUUAGAUUUUAUGGAGUGGUCUCUAAAUUUUGCUAUCACUAUUAGUUAUUGCAUUGCUAUUAAUGUUGACAAUAUGACCGAGUUCUCUCUGCAGACACAAUAUCUAGUGGAAAAUAGCAAGUGUAGUGGGUGGGAUAUAGCUAGCUAUAUCACAAAUUAAGAAGACACAAAUGGGAAACUACGUAAGGAAAAAUGAAUUGAAAAAGCGCAGAGAAAAGGAAUUGAUAGAAGACUUGCUACUAUACAAUUGGUUUUUGGGCUGGUCGGUAUUUUGGGCUCUGCAAUGUUUAUGGGAUUUUCUCUGUUAGUGGAACUGCACUCUCGUUCUUCUUUAGUUUGGAGUAGCUUCUGUUAUUGCCUUAGUCGCUUCAGGCCGCUGCUAUUUCUUUGUAGCUGAUGUUGUAGGUUGUUCAAUUGUUUUUUUUUUUUUUUUUGUAGCAUUUAGUUCCCUCUGGUCUCAAAUGGGAGGGUAGUGGCUGUUCUCUAGUGUUGAGGUUUAGAGUUCCUCUGCUCUUGAACCUUUUAGAAACAAUGUUUUAAGUUAAGCUAUAAUUCAAUUUUUAGGACAUAAUGUUUUAAGUUAAGCUAUAAUUCAAUUUUUAGGUUUGUGUUUUUGUUUUGUUGAAGUUAAUUUGUAUAAUUUGUUGAAGUUAAUUUUAAAAUGUUUUUUUUUUAAAUUAUUUUAAUUAUUAAAUUUUAAUAUUUUGAUUUUUUAAACAUUUAAAAUACAUUUUUUUUUUUAAUAUUCGUACACAUUUUGCCAGGGGUUAAUCCCCGGCAUGGUUUGAAAAGGACUGAUGUGACCAGAAUGCGUCAGAAAAGCCUGCUAUCAUGCAGACACAAUUUGCCAGGGGUUGAGCCAGGGCCUGUGCCAGGAGCGCAUUUUCCAGGAGCUAAACCCCUGGUAGGAUCAUUUGCGAUGAGCAGAUUUGCUGGUGAUUCUGCUCCUGGCAAACGUCCAUUUGCCAAGGCUUUAUGCAUUUUGCUAGGGCUUCUGCCCCUGGCAAAUUACCAGAUUUCUUGUAGUGGAUCCAUUCAUGUUGAAACUUCCGUUAGUGUUAAAACUUUGCAUGUUAAUUUUGGUGUGUCCCAACUUGGUGUCAAUGAAGUUGACACGGCUCAUUUCUUUUCAAGCCAAGUUACAUGGAAAGAUAAAGAAGACAUGCUUAGUUCGAUACGGCGACAAGCAAAUAGGGCCGGAUUUACAGUUGGUAUAAAAAGAUCCAGCAUACAGAAUCCAAUGUUGGAGUUGAUGUGUGAAAGGAGUGGUGAUCACAAAGUAUCCAAGAAAAGAUUGAAGCAUGAAGCAACAUGAUCAAGAAACUCCGCGUGUAUGUUCAAGUUGCGUGAAUAUGUUGGUUGACGCUCCCGGACAUGGGUCACAUCAUUGUAACUUAUUGUAAUAUGGUUGUAGUGGAGUUGACAAAUCACGAAAUUGGAAUCUCUGAGAUUUGUUUUUUUCCCAAUUAGAGAUGGUUGUCCACCACCUCCAUCAUCUUCAGAGUUGAAGCUACACAAGAGACAAGAGGCAUCAUCAUGGGAAUUUGAUUUUCUGGAUCAAGAAACUUGGUUCCGAGACCUCAUGAACAUUAAAAAGGAGAUACACAGUCACCACUAAAAAGAGUCAAACCGAGUCAAUCCGAUUUUGUGUGACAUUCCUGAAAAAGUAAAGGAACAAUUUAAAGUUAUUGCAGAAGAUGAGGAUGAUUGAAUUAUGUUAGAUGGAAUAUGACAUUUUUUUUUUGUCGGUGUUCAUCCUUUUAUUGGGUCGAUAGUACAUCGACAUAUUUUUUGUGGUAGAUAAUGUAAAACCAUUUUUUGUGGCAAAUAUAUAACUAACCUUUUAUAGAUAUAUAUAUAAAUAUUUGACUUUUAUGUGGUGGACAAAGCACCAACAA
Long non-coding RNA from Medicago truncatula (barrel medic), 2151 nucleotides. RefSeq lists it as uncharacterized. Lineage: Eukaryota; Viridiplantae; Streptophyta; Magnoliopsida; Fabales; Fabaceae. The record is from RefSeq and is a predicted model, not a curated record. The transcript has 4 exons.